Long non-coding RNA from Oreochromis aureus, 372 nucleotides. The record is from Ensembl. Lineage: Eukaryota; Metazoa; Chordata; Actinopteri; Cichliformes; Cichlidae.
CGCUUUCUGAUUUUAUCUCACACUUAUCGUGACCCUUUGAGACCGAAUUUGUUGGCAGAGAAGGCUAGGUGCUAGGUGAUUGAAAGGCGCGCUACAGGGCUGCCGCCAGGCCCCUGAGUGAAGGAAUGCGACUGUUAAAACGUGUGGAUCUGGGGGUACAGCAGGAGAGGGCACUGAAUCAGUGUGAGCACUGAGAGAGCCUCAGGAUGAAGAAUACACCAAGGGUGAUCUUUACAUUUACUAUCAUCAUCUACACCAAUAUAAGGGGCAAGAUAUGUUCAUAGUUUCCUGAAUGUUUAUGGUUAAUGCUUUCAAGUUGGUGCUUCCUUCCUGAAGUGUAAGCUCACAUUUAUCACUCUCUUUACACAGAAC